Molecule: ribosomal RNA, 253 nt
Filed under: uncultured bacterium
Lineage: Bacteria
Description: partial 16S ribosomal RNA
Rfam family: Bacterial small subunit ribosomal RNA
Source: RNAcentral
UACGUAGGCAGCGAGCGUUGUUCGGAAUUACUGGGCGUAAAGCGCACGUAGGCGGCUUUCUAAGUCGGGGGUGAAAUCCUGGAGCUCAACUCCAGAACUGCCUUCGAUACUGGAGAGCUUGAGUCCGGGAGAGGUGAGUGGAACUGCGAGUGUAGAGGUGAAAUUCGUAGAUAUUCGCAAGAACACCAGUGGCGAAGGCGGCUCACUGGCCCGGUACUGACGCUGAGGUGCGAAAGCGUGGGGAGCAAACAGG